UUGAAAUGAAAUGAACAAUAUAACUAAAAAUUGAAUCGAACUGAAUGAAAAACGGAAUUGAAUUGAAUUGAUGGUAACUUAUAUUUUACAGAACUUGAAAGUAACUGAAUGAUUAGUCUAGAUUUUUAGUCAUGAAAUGGAAUUAAAGGAACUGAAUUAUGCAGGAAAAUAUUCACUGAAUGAAAUUGAAUUUAAAAUAAAUGAUUCAAACUAACAAGUAUUAAAGUGUUUGGAAUGAAAUCCACAUUAAGAUGAUCGAGGAUGACGCCAAUAGCAAGAACAGAAACUAAAAAAAAAAAAAACUGAAAUUCUGGAAUGUAUAUACCUGUAAUAUGACAAAAGAAACAUGAAAUGAAUAUCUUGAAUAAAGACAAACCUAAGGAAUCGGAAACGAUCAACGAAGACAGAAAUAAAAGAAACUUACAGACGUAAAAUAUCUCGGUGGUUUUCCAACUUCAUUAUCC
RNAcentral lists this long non-coding RNA (464 nucleotides) under Zostera marina. Its description in RNAcentral is "long non-coding RNA (ZMAR_LNC005858)". Lineage: Eukaryota; Viridiplantae; Streptophyta; Magnoliopsida; Alismatales; Zosteraceae. The record is from RNAcentral.